Molecule: ribosomal RNA, 420 nt
Filed under: uncultured prokaryote
Description: bacterial SSU rRNA
Rfam family: Bacterial small subunit ribosomal RNA
Source: RNAcentral
UGAGGAAUAUUGGUCAAUGGACGAGAGUCUGAACCAGCCAAGUCGCGUGAAGGAAGACGGAUCUAUGGUUUGUAAACUUCUUUAGUGCGGGAACAAAGCGGCGUCGUGACGCCGGAUGAGUGUACCGCAAGAAUAAGCAUCGGCUAACUCCGUGCCAGCAGCCGCGGUAAUACGGAGGAUGCGAGCGUUAUCCGGAUUUAUUGGGUUUAAAGGGAGCGCAGGCUGCGAGGCAAGUCAGCGGUCAAAUGUCGGGGCUCAACCCCGGCCUGCCGUUGAAACUGUCCUGCUAGAGUUCGAGUGAGGUAUGCGGAAUGCGUUGUGUAGCGGUGAAAUGCAUAGAUAUGACGCAGAACUCCGAUUGCGAAGGCAGCAUACCAACUCGCGACUGACGCUGAGGCUCGAAAGCGUGGGUAUCGAACA